RNAcentral lists this small nucleolar RNA (211 nucleotides) under Globodera virginiae. Its description in RNAcentral is "partial internal transcribed spacer 2". The record is from RNAcentral. Lineage: Eukaryota; Metazoa; Nematoda; Chromadorea; Rhabditida; Heteroderidae.
CCAAAAAAUGCACUGCAUAUGCGUGUUUUAUUUGCUAAGAUCACGCUUCGGUGUGUUCUUGCAUUACCAUUGAAUGCUACGCUGUGUAGCGUUGGACGUGCUGGCGCGAAAAUGUGUUGUCAUUCGCGCUUUACAGACCGUAAUUUAGGCACGCCCUUCGUUCACGUGCGAUAGCUGAAUGCCUCGCCAAUAGGCAUUUGCAAUUGAACAU